CUCUCCCUCUGGUUGUGGGAAGGAUGAGGUAGCCUCCAGUGUGCUUCUUCUCCCUCCGUGGGCUGUGUUUAUCCAAGUAUUUUAAGCUUCUAUUAUUCUGAGCCCAUUACUCCACAGGGUGAUUAAGAUUUCUCUUGGCCAGAGAAGAGAAGACAAUGUGUUUGCUGCGUCCAGGACUGUUGCUUUUCCCAAGCAGCCUUCAAAGGGGAAAAAAGAAAAACCGUAAACACUAGGCACACAAAAUAUACACUUGCUGCACGGCAGGAGUCUGCAGAGUCUCGUGCCCUUCACCUUGGCCUGGACUACAAGCAGCUGGGACAGGAUGGGGGAGGCGGGAUGACGGAGGCUCUCCAAUUCCUGUGUUCUUCUUCUCACUUGUGCCUGCUUUAAUCCGCUCCAUCUCUACCCAUCCAGGCCAGUCAGCCAUAUCAUUUCUGUUGCUUGACAGUUUUUUGUUUCUCUCUCUCUCUCUCUCUCUCUCUCUCUCUCUCUCUCUCUCUCUCCUCUCUCUCUCUCUCUCUCUCUCUCUCUCUCUCUCUCUCUCUCUCUCUCUCUGUGAAUAUGUAGACCAGGAUGGCCUCGAACUCACAGUGGCAUAAACUGCCUCUGCCGCUCCCUUUCCCUGCUCUCAGAAUGCUGUCAUUAAAACCUGGAGGAGCUGCCGAGCUUCCUUAGCCUACAGCCCCGAGGGCAAGAGCUUUAACCUCAGAGACAUUCUGAGUCCUUAUCUGCCAAAUGGGAGCUUUAGUCCCACCUCCUGGGGCCUCUCGGAGAACGCUGCUGGAACUUGGCUAAGUAGUGGCUUCCUUCUUCCUUCCUGGCUCCCUUUGAUGAAUUCUCUUUCACUUCCCUGCUUCACUUAGCACCUCUCUCCCCCUCUCUUUCUCCCUUUCUCGUUUUCCGAGAAGAAACCAACCCCUCACCGCCGCCGCCACCCCGCCCCCAGCCCCCAGGCCAGAGCUGAGCCACAAGCCCUCAGUCUCUAGGCAGUCGGCUGACUGCCUCAGCAGAGCUGAUAGACACCCAGUGCCCCCAGCUAUUCCCCGCUGUUUUGAUGAACGCCUAACCUUCUCUCCCUAUCUCUCCAGCCCGGCUACUUCUAGCCCUGGAGAUUCAUUCCUCUGAUCACCCUACCCGGACAGCGCACCGCUGCCCUCAAGCUGGCUGGAGUGUUUUGAAGCAAGCAGCUGAUCGUUAGCAUCGCUCUGGCCUAUCUCCCAGACACACAGCCGAUGAGAUUAAAGAAAGGGGCGUGUGACCUCGCUCGCUCGCAAGCCAAAGAUUCCUGUGUUCCGCCCUGGGCCCUGGAGGAAAGCGGUAUUGUUCUAAAGAUAAAGUUACUAGUUGUAUAAA
This is a non-coding RNA of Rattus norvegicus (Norway rat), 1353 nucleotides long. The record is from RefSeq and is a predicted model, not a curated record. NCBI's taxonomy places the organism in Eukaryota, Metazoa, Chordata, Mammalia, Rodentia, Muridae.